Long non-coding RNA from Esox lucius (northern pike), 1639 nucleotides. The record is from Ensembl. Lineage: Eukaryota; Metazoa; Chordata; Actinopteri; Esociformes; Esocidae.
CUUUCAAGACAGCCGGCCACAUACCUGAAGAACAAAGAACAAACACACUGACGGUUUAGGCAGAUUAACAAAUUGUCAGUGUACCCAACUUGUAAGAAUGAGUGCCACAACAAUUGAAAAAAGACCUCUCCUCACACCUGGCAUUCCCAAUCUAGUCUAAAUACACAGCGUGUACUUUCAAACCAGCUUAAUAGCAAUGCCUUAGAAUUCACUAAAACACCAGUUCAACACAUUUCUGUAACAGUUACCAAUCCAUUCCCAAGGAAUUCCAUGUGCAUUAUUUUGCUGUCUGGCAAUUUACAUUGGACAGGUCAUCCCACAGAACUCAGGACACAAGCUGAGUGUAAGCGGCUGACAGAAGUCUCCAAAAAAAGAAUACAGUGUAACAGGAUUUCUGGUCAAAACCAGCAGAGCAGAAAACCACAGCAUAGUCCAAAUCAAAGUAACCCAAUCAGAUCAGCCAAAGUCAGGAUGCCCAAAGUACUUUUUAACACGUUCACCAAACUGAAGCUGGAAUGGCUUUUCCUGGAAAAACAAUGACUCACAUAAACUACGAGAGACAUAGAUGGGAUUGUUGUACUAUCUUUUGAGAUGGCUAGUCAAUUGGAUAUUGUUGUCGGGGGUGGAGCUUGAAGUUGUGGCUGAAAUGUACCGGUACUUAUCUGAGUGCAUCCCAGUCUCUCAUCUAUGAAUGAUAAUGCUAAAGACUUCACCAUGAUAACCACAUUAUGUAUGUUUGGUAAGUGGGCAUCACUAUCAAACAUGUUUCUAAUUUGAUUUGGAACCUUCUUUACAUUUCUUUGUUCUAUUUGUGCAGUUUGGUUGUCUCUACCAAGUUACAGUGAACCUGUGCAGGUUAUUCCUUCUAGACUGCCAGUCUCUGUCCAUGCUGAGAGGUUCUAUAACAUCUCACACCCACGUGACGUCUGUGGAGACAUGAGAUAUGAUGUUCUGCAGUUCACCUGUUGUGAUGGAAUACUACAUGAAGGGGCAAGGCUGUCCUGCUGCGGAAGCAAUGCCUUCAGCAUCAACCAGGCAUCUUGUUGUCAAGGUCAGCUGACUGCUAAUGUGAGCCAGCUUGUGUCAGAUUGCUGCGGGUACAAAGCCUACGACCCACUCAACUAUCUGUGCUGUAACAAACGGAUACUUAAAAGGACCAAACCCUAUUCCAAGUGUUGUGGAAAAGAGCUUUUUGACAGUCACCAGCUUUGCUGUGGAGUGGAAAAGAUAGUCCUGACCAAAAUCUCCAGUAACCAUAAGUGCUGUGGAAACCAACAGUACGACAACAGAAGCCAAUGCUGCUGCAAUUAUACUGUAGUAACCACAAGGACUCUGGAUGGAAAAUGCUGUGUAUCAAAUGACACAGUGGUGACAAAACCGGCCCUGAAAAAUAGACCUAACAACUGUCCUCCUGGGGAGAAGGCCUGUGGUGAAGCCUGUUAUGACCCAACAACAGAGCAGUGCUGUAAUACCUCUUUCCAGGGGCCAUAUCCCUCUGGCCAGAAAUGCUAUCAAGGUCAGACUGCUGACUGUGGAUCCUCACCUUACAAUCCAGAAAAAGAGACGUGUUGUGCUGGGAGUGUGAAAAACAGGGUGCAUGGAAACAAUCUGGUAAGUCUUUUAGCCAACAGGGCUAAGG